GACGAACGCUGGCGGCGUGCCUAAUACCUGCAAGUUGAGCGCUGAAGGUUGGUACUUGUACCAACUGGAUGAGCAGCGAACGGGUGAGUAACGCGUGGGGAAUCUGCCUUUGAGCGGGGGACAACAUUUGGAAAUGAAUGCUAAUACCGCAUAAAAACUUUAAACACAAGUUUUAAGUUUGAAAGAUGCAAUUGCAUCACUCAAAGAUGAUCCCGCGUUGUAUUAGCUAGUUGGUGAGGUAAAGGCUCACCAAGGCGAUGAUACAUAGCCGACCUGAGAGGGUGAUCGGCCACAUUGGGACUGAGACACGGCCCAAACUCCUACGGGAGGCAGCAGUAGGGAAUCUUCGGCAAUGGACGAAAGUCUGACCGAGCAACGCCGCGUGAGUGAAGAAGGUUUUCGGAUCGUAAAACUCUGUUGGUAGAGAAGAACGUUGGUGAGAGUGGAAAGCUCAUCAAGUGACGGUAACUACCCAGAAAGGGACGGCUAACUACGUG
Molecule: ribosomal RNA, 497 nt
Filed under: uncultured bacterium
Lineage: Bacteria
Description: partial 16S ribosomal RNA
Rfam family: Bacterial small subunit ribosomal RNA
Source: RNAcentral